Molecule: long non-coding RNA, 935 nt
Organism: Mustela erminea (ermine)
Lineage: Eukaryota; Metazoa; Chordata; Mammalia; Carnivora; Mustelidae
Exons: 6
Source: RefSeq, a predicted model, not a curated record
AGGAAUGCAGGGGCCCAUGUUUUGCUGAGUCCCAAAGAACAACAGCACCUUAGGAAGAUUCCUGUUCUUACCUAAGUAAGAGCCUGGGCCAGAGACUGAGCAGAGAUAAAGAUGUCGAGUCUGAAGAUAGGAAGGCUCCCAGAAACAAAUUGUUAUAGAAGAAGAAAUCUUAUAGAAGCUCUGUGGAAAGUGAAACCUUUCUGUCUCUUAGUACUCUAUCCUCAGCAUCUAGAAGACUUGGCAAUCAUCUGUUGAAUAAAGGAAUGAAUCACUGUCACGAGGGCAUGGUAGCUAUGAUGUAUCUUCUGGUGGAAGACAUUUUCCAACUCAUCAUCAUUCCUUCAGCUACUGGCUCUAUGUCAGACUCUCAGUUAUAGGAUUAAUGUAUGUAACAGCUUGAAAGACCAAGGCCAAUCAGAAACCUGCUGCUGUGUUAUAAAGUGCUUUGCCAGGCUUACUAUACAAUCUUGCUGUGGUAAGAGUUAUUCCCGCCAUAUCCGUGGAGCAGUCCUUAACUUAUUCUCAGCGUGCAAAUGAAGGAGACCCCUGUCCCACAAAUAGGGAAGGUGUUGGACAUCAAGAUCUACAGUACUUAGCUAAACUCAAUUCAUGAGCAUUUGCAUCUUCUACUCCAACCUAGCCUUUUGGAAUAAACUGUCUCACUCCCCACCAUGGAAACUUGGAAUUCAGCAGAAAUUUAAAAGAAGAAAAAUAUUUACUGUGAAGAACUCUUUUCUUUUGCCCAUGGUUAGCUUUGGUCCUCUGUUCUUCCUCUCAUCUCAGAUUUCAUAGAAGGUUUGCCUGUUAAUUUUGAGUAGGCCUUUUCCCCAGUUUCCAGUCAAGCAUUUAAACUUGAACUCACAUACAAGGGUGAGAAAUAACAUUAUAAACAUUAACAUAAACAUCUAAUUCAUUUGACCAUUUUUUUCCCUCAA